This 479-nucleotide ribosomal RNA is filed under the name uncultured bacterium. Its description in RNAcentral is "bacterial SSU rRNA". It matches the Rfam family "Bacterial small subunit ribosomal RNA", at positions 28 to 507 of the family's 1533-position model. The record is from RNAcentral.
GAUGAACGCUAGCGACAGGCUUAACACAUGCAAGUCGAGGGGCAGCGGGGUUGAAGCUUGCUUCAACUGCCGGCGACCGGCGCACGGGUGAGUAACACGUAUGCAACCUGCCCGUCACAGGGGAAUAACCGGAAGAAAUUCCGACUAAUUCCGCGUAACACUGUUAUCAGGCAUCUGGUGACCAGUCAAAGGAGAGAUCCGGUGACGGAUGGGCAUGCGGCGCAUUAGCUAGUCGGCGGGGUAACGGCCCACCGAGGCGACGAUGCGUAGGGGUUCUGAGAGGAAGGUCCCCCACACUGGUACUGAGACACGGACCAGACUCCUACGGGAGGCAGCAGUGGGGAAUAUUGGGCAAUGGGGCGCAAAGCCUGACCCAGCAACGCCGCGUGAAGGAAGAAGGUCUUCGGAUUGUAAACUUUUGUUGUCAGUGAAGAAAAAAGGACUGUAAACUGACGAGAAAAGCCCCGGCUAACUACGUG